GAGUUUGAUCAUGGCUCAGGAUGAACGCUGGCGGCGUGCCUAACACAUGCAAGUCGAACGGGGCAGCCAGAGCGGAAGGGGGAAGCUUGCUUUCCCCGGAAGAGCUGACAGCCAAGUGGCGGACGGGUGAGUAACGCAUGGGCAACCUGCCCCAUACCGGGGGAUAACACCUGGAAACAGGUGCUAAUACCGCAUAAGCGCACGAGGAGCGCAUGCUCCGGUGUGAAAAAUUCCGGUGGUAUGGGAUGGGCCCGCGUCUGAUUAGCUGGUUGGCGGGGUAACGGCCCACCAAGGCGACGAUCAGUAGCCGGCCUGAGAGGGUGGACGGCCACAUUGGGACUGAGACACGGCCCAAACUCCUACGGGAGGCAGCAGUGGGGAAUAUUGCACAAUGGGGGGAACCCUGAUGCAGCAACGCCGCGUGAGUGAAGAAGUAUUUCGGUACGUAAAGCUCUAUCAGCAGGGAAGAAGAAAGACGGUACCUGAGUAAGAAGCCCCGGCUAACUACGUGCCAGCAGCCGCGGUAAUACGUAGGGGGCAAGCGUUAUCCGGAAUUACUGGGUGUAAAGGGAGCGCAGACGGCGAUGCAAGUCUGGAGUGAAAGGCCGCGGCCCAACUGCGGGACUGCUCUGGAAACUGUAUGGCUGGAGUACAGGAGAGGUAAGCGGAAUUCCUAGUGUAGCGGUGAAAUGCGUAGAUAUUAGGAGGAACACCGGUGGCGAAGGCGGCUUACUGGACUGUAACUGACGUUGAGGCUCGAAAGCGUGGGGAGCAAACAGGAUUAGAUACCCUGGUAGUCCACGCCGUAAACGAUGAUUACUAGGUGUCGGGGGUCAAGAGACCUCCGGUGCCGCAGCCAACGCAGUAAGUAAUCCACCUGGGGAGUACGUUCGCAAGAAUGAAACUCAAAGGAAUUGACGGGGACCCGCACAAGCGGUGGAGCAUGUGGUUUAAUUCGAGGCAACGCGAAGAACCUUACCCGGCCUUGACAUCCCCAUGAAAGACGGGCAAUGCCGUCAGCCCUUCGGGGCAUGGGAGACAGGUGGUGCAUGGUUGUCGUCAGCUCGUGUCGUGAGAUGUUGGGUUAAGUCCCGCAACGAGCGCAACCCUUAUCAUCAGUAGCCAGCAGUAAGAUGGGGACUCUGGUGAGACUGCCGGGGAUAACCCGGAGGAAGGCGGGGAUGACGUCAAAUCAUCAUGCCCCUUAUGGCCGGGGCUACACACGUGCUACAAUGGCGUAAACAGAGGGAGGCGAACCUGCGAGGGGGAGCGAAUCCCAAAAAUAACGUCCCAGUUCGGAUUGCAGUCUGCAACUCGACUGCAUGAAGCCGGAAUCGCUAGUAAUCGCAGAUCAGAAUGCUGCGGUGAAUACGUUCCCGGGUCUUGUACACACCGCCCGUCACACCAUGGGAGCAGGUAAUGCCCGAAGUCGGUGACCCAACCCGAGAGGGAGGGAGCCGCCGAAGGCAGGACCCGUGACUGGGGUGAAGUCGUAACAAGGUA
This 1503-nucleotide ribosomal RNA is filed under the name uncultured bacterium. RNAcentral describes it as "16S ribosomal RNA". It matches the Rfam family "Bacterial small subunit ribosomal RNA". The record is from RNAcentral.